Molecule: non-coding RNA, 45 nt
Organism: Schistosoma haematobium
Lineage: Eukaryota; Metazoa; Platyhelminthes; Trematoda; Strigeidida; Schistosomatidae
Source: Rfam
GUCCAGAUGAAGAAUCUCAAAUAGGACGAAAUACGCGUCCUAGAU